GGAGGCGGGCAGACACUGAACAGGCUGGGGAUUCUCACAAACCGAAGGACGGUUGAUAUCCAUCCGCUGCUGCCUGCAGCACACUACCACCACCACCACCCUGAACUAGGGAUCCUAUCCCCCACUGCCAGUCGUCCCCAGGUCCCUUUUAUUGCGGUGCCAGCAAUGAGGGGGUGGUCGCCUCGGAGGUCCGCAGAGGCGGGCUGCUGUGAGCCCGCCCCUUAGGCUGGCGCACCUCCUGGCCCCGCCCCCCGUGGGUCGGAACUAGGGUGGGCCAGGGAGGGGGCGUCUAGCCCAUUCGUGCUGUAUCCCUCCGCCCCCCUUCCCGACACCCUUGGUGAGAGCGGUUCGUGCGGCAUCCUGCGCAGCCCCUGCCCAGUUUGGUGCUGCAGCGCGGGGGGGCGGGACGCCUUUUUGCGAUUCUGACAGCACGCUAGGUGGUGGGAGUCCGAGUGAGGAGCUCCGAGAAGAGGGGGAGGACAACAACCUGCACCUUGAGCCUGUGAAGGUCUGGUGGUUUCAUCCCGCAGGGUGCAUCUGUAGAGGAGAGGCUUGAGAAAAAGGAAGAGCAGGACAAUGGCCUGGAUUUCUGGAGGCCUACUUUAAAGCUGCUCACUUCUGUAAGGGAGGGAAGGAGGAAUAUACUGGCCCAAAUCUGUGGAGAUCUACCUCCAGUGGCAUCUCUGGAGGUGUUGGAAUUGCUGCUGACCACCACCCUCAACAGGUCUGCACCCACCUGGGAGCAUCCAUCAUCCCCCAGCUUGGUUGUGCCUCUUCUGCGCUUUGUGAUAUUGACUGAGGCUGGGCUUUGGAAGCAGAUCGAUUGACUGCUGGACUGGUGAUUGACUCUAACUCUUGUUUCCAACUAUAUCACGUGAAUCACUGAAAGAUCACAGUGUGAAGAUACAAAACUGUGAGAGAUCUGUGGUAGAGGCUGAGACUGGGGUAGGGGUACUUAACUGGG
This 964-nucleotide long non-coding RNA is filed under the name Lynx canadensis (Canada lynx). Its description in RNAcentral is "lncRNA (ENSLCNG00005019353.1)". Lineage: Eukaryota; Metazoa; Chordata; Mammalia; Carnivora; Felidae. The record is from RNAcentral.